GCGCGGCGCGAAGUAGACUUAUCAGCUUCCCAAGCUGAAUGUCGUCGGUUCGAUCCCGAUCGCCCGCUCCA
Molecule: transfer RNA, 71 nt
Filed under: Methylorubrum rhodesianum
Lineage: Bacteria; Pseudomonadati; Pseudomonadota; Alphaproteobacteria; Hyphomicrobiales; Methylobacteriaceae
Also listed under: 1 other name
Description: tRNA-Gly
Rfam family: tRNA
About the family: Transfer RNA (tRNA) molecules are approximately 80 nucleotides in length. Their secondary structure includes four short double-helical elements and three loops (D, anti-codon, and T loops). Further hydrogen bonds mediate the characteristic L-shaped molecular structure. tRNAs have two regions of fundamental functional importance: the anti-codon, which is responsible for specific mRNA codon recognition, and the 3' end, to which the tRNAs corresponding amino acid is attached (by aminoacyl-tRNA synthetases). tRNAs cope with the degeneracy of the genetic code in two manners: having more than one tRNA (with a specific anti-codon) for a particular amino acid; and 'wobble' base-pairing, i.e. permitting non-standard base-pairing at the 3rd anti-codon position.
Source: RNAcentral